This 212-nucleotide unclassified non-coding RNA is filed under the name soil metagenome. RNAcentral's name for it is "partial contains 5.8S ribosomal RNA, internal transcribed spacer 2, and large subunit ribosomal RNA". The record is from RNAcentral.
AAGACUAUAGACCUGCGGAGUACCUGCGGAAGGAUCAUUACCGAGUUAUACAACUCAUCAACCCUGUGAACAUACCUAUAACGUUGCCUCGGCGGGAACAGACGGCCCCGUAACACGGGCCGCCCCCGCCAGAGGACCCCCUAACUCUGUUUCUAUAAUGUUUCUUCUGAGUAAACAAGCAAAUAAAUUAAAACUUUUAACAACGGAUCUCU